This 497-nucleotide ribosomal RNA is filed under the name uncultured bacterium. Its description in RNAcentral is "partial 16S ribosomal RNA". It matches the Rfam family "Bacterial small subunit ribosomal RNA", at positions 28 to 507 of the family's 1533-position model. The record is from RNAcentral.
GAUGAACGCUGGCGGCGUGCCUAAUACAUGCAAGUCGAGCGAACAGACGAGGAGCUUGCUCCUCUGACGUUAGCGGCGGACGGGUGAGUAACACGUGGAUAACCUACCUAUAAGACUGGGAUAACUUCGGGAAACCGGAGCUAAUACCGGAGAAUAUAUUGAACCGCAUGGUUCAAUAGUGAAAGACGGUUUUGCUGUCACAUAUAGAUGGAUCCGCGCCGCAUUAGCUAGUUGGUAAGGGAACGGCCCACCAAGGCAACGAUGCGUAGCCGACCUGAGAGGAGGACCAGCCACCCUGGAACUGAGACACGGUCCAGACUCCUACGGGAGGCAGCAGUGGGGAAUAUUGGACAAUGGGCGCAAGCCUGAUCCAGCCAUACCGCGUGAGUGAAGAAGGCCUUCGGGUUGUAAAGCCCUUUUGUUGGGAAAGAAAAGCAGCAGGUUAAUACCCCGCUGUUCUGACGGUACCCAAAGAAUAAGCACCGGCUAACUUCGUG